This 506-nucleotide ribosomal RNA is filed under the name uncultured Glomeromycotina. RNAcentral's name for it is "SSU rRNA". It matches the Rfam family "Eukaryotic small subunit ribosomal RNA", at positions 569 to 1077 of the family's 1831-position model. Lineage: Eukaryota; Fungi; Glomeromycota. The record is from RNAcentral.
AGCAGCCGCGGUAAUUCCAGCUCCAAUAGCGUAUAUUAAAGUUGUUGCAGUUAAAAAGCUCGUAGUUGAAUUUCGGGAUCGAAUUGUUGGUCGUGCUUCGGUACGCACUGGCAUUAUCGGUUUCUACCUUCUGAAGGACCGCGAUGUCAUUAAUUUGGUGUCGUGGGGAAUCAGGACUGUUACUUUGAAAAAAUUAGAGUGUUUAAAGCAGGCUUACGCUUGAAUACAUUAGCAUGGAAUAAUGAAAUAGGACGUUUGAUUCUAUUUUGUUGGUUUCUAGGAUCGACGUAAUGAUUAAUAGGGAUAGUUGGGGGCAUUAGUAUUCAAUUGUCAGAGGUGAAAUUCUUGGAUUUAUUGAAGACUAACUACUGCGAAAGCAUUUGCCAAGGAUGUUUUCAUUAAUCAAGAACGAAAGUUAGGGGAUCGAAGACGAUCAGAUACCGUCGUAGUCUUAACCAUAAACUAUGCCGACUAGGGAUUGGAUGAUGUUAAUUUUAUAAUGACUC